UACGGGGGGAGCAAGCGUUGUUCGGAUUUACUGGGCGUAAAGGGCGCGUAGGCGGCCAACUAAGUCAGAUGUGAAAUCCCCAGGCUUAACCUGGGAACUGCAUCUGAUACUGGAUGGCUUGAAUCCGGGAGAGGGAUGCAGAAUUCCAGGUGUAGCGGUGAAAUUCGUAGAUAUUCGGAAGAACACCAGUGGCGAAGGCGGCUCACUGGACUGGUAUUGACGCUGAGGUGCGAAAGCGUGGGGAGCAAACAGG
This 253-nucleotide ribosomal RNA is filed under the name uncultured bacterium. Its description in RNAcentral is "partial 16S ribosomal RNA". It matches the Rfam family "Bacterial small subunit ribosomal RNA", at positions 524 to 776 of the family's 1533-position model. The record is from RNAcentral.